Molecule: unclassified non-coding RNA, 348 nt
Filed under: soil metagenome
Description: partial contains 5.8S ribosomal RNA, internal transcribed spacer 2, and large subunit ribosomal RNA
Rfam family: 5.8S ribosomal RNA (bases 1-120)
Source: RNAcentral
GAUGAAGAACGCAGCAAAAUGCGAUAAGUAAUGUGAAUUGCAGAAUUCAGUGAAUCAUCGAAUCUUUGAACGCACAUUGCGCCCGCUGGUAUUCCGGCGGGCAUGCCUGUUCGAGCGUCAUUUCAACCCUCAAGCCCCCGGGUUUGGUGUUGGGGAUCGGCUCUGCCCUUCUGGGCGGUGCCGCCCCCGAAAUACAUUGGCGGUCUCGCUGCAGCCGCCAUUGCGUAGUAGCUAACACCUCGCAACUGGAACGCGGCGCGGCCAUGCCGUAAAACCCCAACUUCUGAAUGUUGACCUCGGAUCAGGUAGGAAUACCCGCUGAACUUAAGCAUAUCAAUAAGCGGAGGA